UGGGCUGGCAGAAAUGUCAAGGUCCAACCUAUCGGCGGGGAGACUCCCC
Molecule: non-coding RNA, 49 nt
Filed under: Lachnospiraceae bacterium NK4A136
Lineage: Bacteria; Bacillati; Bacillota; Clostridia; Lachnospirales; Lachnospiraceae
Description: rumen bacterium NK4A136 DUF3800-XI RNA
Rfam family: DUF3800-XI RNA
About the family: Actinobacteria, Firmicutes, Proteobacteria, Spirochaetes (1 example). Nearby to DUF3800
Source: Rfam by way of RNAcentral